GUUUUUAUGGUGUAAACAAAGCACGUUAGGUUUUCAUCCUAAAAGUGUGAAUCUUUUUCACUAGAAAUA
Molecule: transfer RNA, 69 nt
Filed under: Cerithidea obtusa
Lineage: Eukaryota; Metazoa; Mollusca; Gastropoda; Potamididae
Description: tRNA-Glu
Source: RNAcentral